GCUGGCGGCAGGCCUAACACAUGCAAGUCGAGCGGUAGCACAGAGAAGCUUGCUUCUUGGGUGACGAGCGGCGGACGGGUGAGUAACGCGUAGGAAUCUACCUAAUGGUGGGGGAUAGCCCAGGGAAACUUGGAUUAAUACCGCAUAAGUCCUAAGGGAGAAAGCGGGGGAUCUUCGGACCUCGUGCCAUUAGAUGAGCCUGCGUAAGAUUAGCUAGUUGGUGAGGUAAGGGCUCACCAAGGCGACGAUCUUUAGCUGGUCUGAGAGGAUGAUCAGCCACACUGGGACUGAGACACGGCCCAGACUCCUACGGGAGGCAGCAGUGGGGAAUAUUGGACAAUGGGGGCAACCCUGAUCCAGCCAUGCCGCGUGUGUGAAGAAGGCCUUCGGGUUGUAAAGCACUUUCAGAUGUGAGGAAAGGUUGCAGAUUAAUACUCUGCAGCUGUGACGUUAACAUCAGAAGAAGGACCGGCUAACUCCGUGCCAGCAGCCGCGGUAAUACGGAGGGUCCGAGCGUUAAUCGGAAUUACUGGGCGUAAAGCGCGCGUAGGUGGUUUCGUCAGUCAGAUGUGAAAGCCCAGGGCUCAACCUUGGAAUUGCACCUGAUACUGCGGGACUAGAGUACGAUAGA
Molecule: ribosomal RNA, 631 nt
Filed under: uncultured Oceanospirillales bacterium
Lineage: Bacteria; Pseudomonadati; Pseudomonadota; Gammaproteobacteria; Oceanospirillales
Description: bacterial SSU rRNA
Rfam family: Bacterial small subunit ribosomal RNA
Source: RNAcentral